AUGGACACCCCAAAACCUCUCCAAAGGGUGACCACUCACUUUCAAGUUCAUAAGCAGCUGCCCUCACCUAAAGGAAACCAUGGGUUGAAGCUUGAAGGAAGCUCACCAGGAUGCGGUUGCUGGAGGAGUAGGCUCACAAAGCACAGUCUGGAAGUUCACUGCAGUGACUCUGGGAAUCUUCUGCCUUGCAUUACUGGCCACAGCGGGUUUCUUGGUGGCCCAAGUGAUCCAGGGACAAGAAGUUUCUAAAAACGGCUUUCCAAACCCAACUCCGAGCAACAUCAAAGAG
This 289-nucleotide long non-coding RNA is filed under the name Ornithorhynchus anatinus (platypus). Its description in RNAcentral is "lncRNA (ENSOANG00000048724.1)". The record is from RNAcentral. Lineage: Eukaryota; Metazoa; Chordata; Mammalia; Monotremata; Ornithorhynchidae.